AUUGAACGCUGGCGGAAUACUUUACACAUGCAGGUCGAACGGCAGCACGGACUUCGGUCUGGUGGCGAGUGGCGAACGGGUGAGUAAUGUAUCGGAACGUGCCCAGUCGUGGGGGAUAACGUAGUGAAAAUUACGCUAAUACCGCAUACGAUCUAUGGAUGAAAGCGGGGGAUCGCAAGACCUCGCGCGAUUGGAGCGGCCGAUAUCAGAUUAGGUAGUUGGUGGGGUAAAGGCCCACCAAGCCAACGAUCUGUAGAUGGUCUGAGAGGACGACCAGCCACACUGGAACUGAGACACGGUCCAGACUCCUACGGGAGGCAGCAGUGGGGAAUUUUGGACAAUGGGCGAAAGCCUGAUCCAGCCAUUCCGCGUGCAGGAUGAAGGCCCUCGGGUUGUAAACUGCUUUUGUACAGAACGAAAAGGUUUCUACUAAUACUAGGAGCUCAUGACGGUACUGUAAGAAUAAGCACCGGCUAACUACGUGCCAGCAGCCGCCGCGG
RNAcentral lists this ribosomal RNA (500 nucleotides) under uncultured bacterium. RNAcentral's name for it is "partial 16S ribosomal RNA". It matches the Rfam family "Bacterial small subunit ribosomal RNA", at positions 30 to 523 of the family's 1533-position model. The record is from RNAcentral.